This 274-nucleotide ribosomal RNA is filed under the name uncultured bacterium. RNAcentral's name for it is "partial 16S ribosomal RNA". It matches the Rfam family "Bacterial small subunit ribosomal RNA", at positions 523 to 796 of the family's 1533-position model. The record is from RNAcentral.
AUACGGAGGGUGCAAGCGUUACUCGGAAUCACUGGGCGUAAAGCGCGCGCAGGCGGCUUGAUAAGUUGGAUGUGAAAGCCUACGGCUCAACCGUAGAACUGCAUCCAAAACUGUCAGGCUCGAGUGUGGGAGAGGAAGAUGGAAUUAGUUGUGUAGGGGUAAAAUCCGUAGAGAUAACUAGGAAUACCAAAAGCGAAGGCAAUCUUCUGGAACACUACUGACGCUGAGGCGCGAAGGCGUGGGGAGCAAACAGGAUUAGAAACCCCAGUAGUCC